This 203-nucleotide long non-coding RNA is filed under the name Elaeis guineensis (African oil palm). RNAcentral describes it as "long non-coding RNA (EGUI_LNC059469)". The record is from RNAcentral. Lineage: Eukaryota; Viridiplantae; Streptophyta; Magnoliopsida; Arecales; Arecaceae.
CUGAGAUGUUCUAAGAGGUGUUCAUUGUGAGACUAUGCCAUUAUCUUUGAAAUAGUUUUAGAAUUUUUCACUAAGGUAUUCAUCUCCUCAAUUUGAUCGAAGAACCGUUAUAGAUUUUCAUGUUUGCUUCUCCACUUUACAUUUGAACUCCUUAAACUUUUCAAAGGCCUUAGAUUUAUAUCACACUAAGUACACAUACAUAU